AUUGAACGCUGGCGGCAUGCCUUACACAUGCAAGUCGAACGGCAGCACGGGUGCCUGCACCUGGUGGCGAGUGGCGAACGGGUGAGUAAUAUAUCGGAACGUGCCCUAGAGUGGGGGAUAACGUAGCGAAAGUUACGCUAAUACCGCAUACGAUCUACGGAUGAAAGUGGGGGAUCGCAAGACCUCAUGCUCCUGGAGCGGCCGAUAUCUGAUUAGCUAGUUGGUGGGGUAAAAGCCUACCAAGGCGACGAUCAGUAGCUGGUCUGAGAGGACGACCAGGCAAACUGGGACUGAGACACGGCCCAGACUCCUACGGGAGGCAGCAGUGGGGAAUUUUGGACAAUGGGGGAAACCCUGAUCCAGCAAUGCCGCGUGUGUGAAGAAGGCCUUCGGGUUGUAAAGCACUUUUGUCAGGAAGAAACACCGGCUCUAACACAGUCCGGGAAUGACGGUACCUGAAGAAUAAGCACCGGCUAACUACGUGCCAGCCGCCGCCGUAA
RNAcentral lists this ribosomal RNA (500 nucleotides) under uncultured bacterium. RNAcentral's name for it is "partial 16S ribosomal RNA". It matches the Rfam family "Bacterial small subunit ribosomal RNA", at positions 30 to 523 of the family's 1533-position model. The record is from RNAcentral.